This 507-nucleotide ribosomal RNA is filed under the name Liopholidophis rhadinaea. RNAcentral's name for it is "partial 16S ribosomal RNA". It matches the Rfam family "Bacterial large subunit ribosomal RNA", at positions 1816 to 2597 of the family's 2925-position model. Lineage: Eukaryota; Metazoa; Chordata; Lepidosauria; Squamata. The record is from RNAcentral.
AACCUUUAGCAAAACAAAUAUUAAAGGCAACGCCUGCCCAGUGAAUAAUUAAACGGCCGCGGUACCCUAACCGUGCAAAGGUAGCGUAAUCAUUUGUCUAUUAAUUAUAGACCCGUAUGAAAGGCAAAAUGAGGGCCUAACUGUCUCUUAUAAUAAAUCAAUUAAACUGAUCUCCCAGUCCAAAAGCUGGAAUACCCACAUAAGACCAGAAGACCCUGUGAAGCUUAAACUAAACUAUUAAACCAUAUAAUAGCUCCUUUCGGUUGGGGCGACCUUGGAAAUAAAGAGAACUUCCAAAUAAACGACCUUCAUCAUAACUUUUAGGCCAACAAGCCUGAUAUAGACCCAGUAUAGCUGACAAUUGAACCAAGUUACUCCAGGGAUAACAGCGCUAUCUUCUUCAAGAGCCCAUAUCAAAAAGAAGGUUUACGACCUCGAUGUUGGAUCAGGACAUCCUAUUGGUGCAACCGCUAUUAAGGGUUCGUUUGUUCAACGAUUAACAGUCCU